Mesocricetus auratus (golden hamster) is the source of this 324-nucleotide long non-coding RNA. RefSeq lists it as uncharacterized. The transcript is spliced from 2 exons. The record is from RefSeq and is a predicted model, not a curated record. NCBI's taxonomy places the organism in Eukaryota, Metazoa, Chordata, Mammalia, Rodentia, Cricetidae.
UGGAGGACAGGGGAUACAGGAAUGGAUGCCAAGACAGGAUUCCGAUCAAGGAUUGAGUUAUCAUCACCAGGAAACUUUUACCCAUUUGCUGUGCUUCAAUAUGCCUAAAAUAAACUACUUGGAGUCAGAAUUACAAAGUUUGGACCAACACCAGCUACUUAGUCAUGAUGAACCGAAAACUCCCUUCUUGCCUCCAAGGACUGCUACUCUGCUGGCCAUGGUGAUCACAGAAACCCAUAUACACUCAUAUAGAAACUGUAAACUAGUCCACUGUAUGUUCAUACCAUGGUUUAUUGAUCCAAUGAUAAAGCUACUGGGUGGGUA